This 497-nucleotide ribosomal RNA is filed under the name uncultured bacterium. Its description in RNAcentral is "partial 16S ribosomal RNA". It matches the Rfam family "Bacterial small subunit ribosomal RNA", at positions 28 to 507 of the family's 1533-position model. The record is from RNAcentral.
GAUGAACGCUGGCGGCGUGCCUAAUACAUGCAAGUCGAGCGAACAGACGAGGAGCUUGCUCCUCUGACGUUAGCGGCGGACGGGUGAGUAACACGUGGAUAACCUACCUAUAAGACUGGGAUAACUUCGGGAAACCGGAGCUAAUACCGGAUAAUAUAUUGAACCGCAUGGUUCAAUAGUGAAAGACGGUUUUGCUGUCACUUAUAGAUUGAUCCGCGCCGCAUUAGCUAGUUGGUAAGGUAACGGCUUACCAAGGCAACGAUGCGUAGCCGACCUGAGAGGGUGAUCGGCCACACGGGAACUGAGACACGGUCCAGACUCCUACGGGAGGCAGCAGUAGGGAAUCUUACGCAAUGGGCGAAAGCCUGACGGAGCAACGCCGCGUGAGUGAUGAAGGUCUUCGGAUCGUAAAACUCUGUUAUUAGGGAAGAACAAAUGUGUAAGUAACUAUGCACGUCUUGACGGUACCUAAUCAGAAAGCCACGGCUAACUACGUG